Molecule: ribosomal RNA, 494 nt
Filed under: uncultured bacterium
Lineage: Bacteria
Description: bacterial SSU rRNA
Rfam family: Bacterial small subunit ribosomal RNA
Source: RNAcentral
AUGAACGCUAGCGACAGGCCUAACACAUGCAAGUCAGGGGCAGCACAAGGAGCAAUCUGAGGUGGCGACCGGCGCACGGGUGAGUAACACGUAUGCAACCUGCCUGUAAGCGGGGAAUAACCCGUUGCAAGACGGACUAAUACCGCAUAAUACUAAAUUACUGCAUGGUAAUUUAUUUAAACAUUUAUGGCUUACAGAUGGGCAUGCGCAUGAUUAGCUAGUUGGAGAGGUAACGGCUCCCCAAGGCAACGAUCAUUAGGGGUUCUGAGAGGAAGGUCCCCCCACACUGGUACUGAGACACGGACCAGACUCCUACGGGAGGCAGCAGUGAGGAAUAUUGGUCAAUGGACGAGAGUCUGAACCAGCCAAGUCGCGUGCAGGAAGAAUGUCCUAUGGAUUGUAAACUGCUUUUGCAGGGGAAUAAAGUGCAUCACGUGUGAUGUUUUGUAUGUACUCUGCGAAUAAGGAUCGGCUAACUCCGUGCCAGCCGCCGC